AUACGGAGGGUGCAAGCGUUGCUCGGAAUCACUGGGCGUAAAGCGUACGCAGGCGGCGUACUAAGUCGGGUGUGAAAGCCCAGGGCUCAACCCUGGAACUGCAUUCGAAACUGGUACACUUGAGUAUGGGAGAGGUAAGCGGAAUUCCUAGUGUAGAGGUGAAAUUCGUAGAUAUUAGGAGGAACACCAGCGGCGAAGGCGGCUUACUGGCCCAAUACUGACGCUCAUGUACGAAAGCGUGGGGAGCAAACAGGAUUAGAAACCCUAGUAGUCC
This 274-nucleotide ribosomal RNA is filed under the name uncultured bacterium. RNAcentral describes it as "partial 16S ribosomal RNA". It matches the Rfam family "Bacterial small subunit ribosomal RNA", at positions 523 to 796 of the family's 1533-position model. The record is from RNAcentral.